RNAcentral lists this ribosomal RNA (490 nucleotides) under uncultured bacterium. RNAcentral's name for it is "partial 16S ribosomal RNA". It matches the Rfam family "Bacterial small subunit ribosomal RNA", at positions 30 to 507 of the family's 1533-position model. The record is from RNAcentral.
AUUGAACGCUGGCGGCAGGCCUAACACAUGCAAGUCGAACGGUAACAGGAAACAGCUUGCUGUUUCGCUGACGAGUGGCGGACGGGUUAGUAAUGUCUGUGAAACUGCCUGAUGGAGGGGGAUAACUACUGGAAACGGUUGCUAAUACCGCCUAACGUCGCAAGCCCAAAGAGGGGGACCUUCGGGCCUCUUGCCUUCAGCUGUGCCCAGAUGGGAUUAGCUAGUAGGUGGGGUAACGGCUCACCUAGGCGACGAUCCCUAGCUGGUCUGAGAGGAUGACCAGCCACACUGGAACUGAGACACGGUCCAGACUCCUACGGGAGGCAGCAGUGGGGAAUAUUGCACAAUGGGCGCAAGCCUGAUGCAGCCAUGCCGCGUGUAUGAAGAAGGCCUUCGGGUUGUAAAGUACUUUAAGCGGGGAGGAAGGGAGUAAAGUUAAUACCUUUGCUCAUUGACGUUACCCGCAGAAGAAGCACCGGCUAACUCCGUG